Long non-coding RNA from Megalopta genalis, 1687 nucleotides. RefSeq lists it as uncharacterized. Lineage: Eukaryota; Metazoa; Arthropoda; Insecta; Hymenoptera; Halictidae. The record is from RefSeq and is a predicted model, not a curated record.
UUCACCGGUCAAAUAAUAUUAUCAGGACACUCGCGGAAGCAUUAUCAAGCGGUUCGUAGCACACGAAAGGAAAAACACCUCCUGCAUCAGUUUAUGCGAUUAACACCGAACGAUAACGGUAAAAAGCGUCGGCGGCGAAUUUCCACUGAACGAUAACACUCAUUCGAAGAACACAACGAUGUGUCUCGCUUACUUCAUGAAACUCUCCGCGGUGAAAACUACUCGGACGUCGAGAAGAAGAAAUCUCGGUUUCUACGCUCGGCGAGCGUUAUUGAGAGCCAAUAAUAUGUUUGAGAACACGGUCGAAUGCUCAUUAUCUGUCAAGGAUCGCACGAGCAUUGAGCCACAAGGACGAGUUUUUGCACGACAAAGAAAACUUGAUGCUUCUAUAUGUGGAAGGAAAGCACGAAACGCACGACACCACCGAAGGGAAAAUAGAAAAUACUAAAUGUAAUAGAGGCGGGAGCAGGAGUGGGGAUACGAAAUUCCUAGCACGCGACGCUGGUCCCGGUGUACCGUGUGCACCGGGUUCAUGGCUGGGUGAAACGCUACUUAACAGUAAAUAGAAAUCUUGGCUGUCUGGUCGGGUUAGCAUCUUUCUUGAUCCUUGGAACGCUUCCACUUCCACGAGACGUUUUUAGUUAUGGACGAACGAAUCGCGUAUGUAUAUUGUGCUUAAACGAACAACUUUAUAUUGAUGUUUAGUGAUUUAGUGUACAAAAAUGCAGAGUUUAAAUAACUCAUUCUGUACCGAGAUCUCAUUGCGAACCAUUCGAUUUGUUUGUGAGCAGAUGGACUCACGGUGCUUCUGAAACUCUUCGCUAGAGGGCGAUGAUUUUCGAAUUUUCUUUGAUAACGUGAUUCUUGUUAUAUAUUCACUUUGCUAAAGGACGUGUUUGAUACGUGUUUUCCUCAAACAAAACACCGACAUUUAACUUAAUUGUUCACCCCACGUUGACCAACUCGAGUGGUCGAGGGUCACCAACUGAAAUGGAAAUUCACCCUUGCAACUGCAACACGAUACCACAGACGAGGCAUCAGAGUAGACCAAGCAACCAUAUGGGUUUUCGUGUCACACAUCCUAAAAUUUUAACUAAAACAGUCAGUUAGUGAACUACAGUAAUAUAUACCCAUAUUUUUGCACGAUCUUUUUUCCUCCCUAAGUUUUUGCGCAUCUAGCUCCGCGCAGUUAGUUUAGGUACAAUGUACCGGUGCUUGCGGUCUCACUUUUUCUUUGCGCAUGGCGUAUCUUCUGAAACACGCGGCGCAAUAUUCGAUUUGUAUUUGUAGCCUAGUUGGAUUCUCGACCGCAUCUAUCAACAUAUUUGCGAAUGAUGCUGAAUGAACAUUGAGAUAUAUUUCAAUCAUAUAUGUUUAUUGAGCAGGAUCAGGCCUACUUAACUAUUGCAUUACCCCGAAUGUUAGCGCGAAAAAAUGAAUAAAUGUUGGUAAUGAAUAUUGAAAACUUUAUAUAUUUUCUUGAAAGAUGUCUAUUUGAUCGAAAUAUGAUCCAUUUGCUUCGAUGCACAUUUUCUCAACGAGCUUUUAAUGUAUAAAUGCCAUUUUUAAAGAAGUUCUGGUCUUUUGCAUGAAUAAAUUUAGCUAUGAAGAUUUUAAUGCUAUUUUUUCAAACGAAAUGUAUGUGUUAUGGCUUAGUAUAAAAUAAAUGUAAAAAUACUAUAUCACA